RNAcentral lists this ribosomal RNA (253 nucleotides) under uncultured bacterium. RNAcentral's name for it is "partial 16S ribosomal RNA". It matches the Rfam family "Bacterial small subunit ribosomal RNA", at positions 524 to 776 of the family's 1533-position model. The record is from RNAcentral.
UACGGGGGGGGCAAGCGUUGUUCGGAAUUACUGGGCGUAAAGGGUCUGUAGGUGGCCAACUAAGUCAGACGUGAAAUCCCUCAGCUUAACUGGGGAACUGCGUCUGAGACUGGAUGGCUUGAGUGCAGGAGAGGAACGCGGAAUUCCAGGUGUAGCGGUGAAAUGCGUAGAUAUCUGGAGGAACACCGGUGGCGAAGGCGGCGUUCUGGACUGCAACUGACACUGAGAGGCGAAAGCGUGGGGAGCAAACAGG